CGGACGUGUGAGUAACGCGUGGACAACCUACCCCGCACUGGGGGACAACAGCCGGAAACGGCUGCUAAUACCGCAUAUGCGCACAGCCCCACAUGGGGCGGUGCGGAAAGCCUUGUGCGGUGCGGGAUGGGUCCGCGUCUGAUUAGCUGGUUGGCGGGGUAACGGCCCACCAAGGCGACGAUCAGUAGCCGGCCUGAGAGGGUGGACGGCCACAUUGGGACUGAGACACGGCCCAGACUCCUACGGGAGGCAGCAG
RNAcentral lists this ribosomal RNA (256 nucleotides) under uncultured bacterium. RNAcentral describes it as "partial 16S ribosomal RNA". It matches the Rfam family "Bacterial small subunit ribosomal RNA", at positions 99 to 354 of the family's 1533-position model. The record is from RNAcentral.